GAUGAAGAACGUAGUGAAAUGCGAUAAUUAAUGUGAAUUGCAGAAUUCAGUGAAUCAUCGAGUCUUUGAACGCACAUUGCGCCCCCUGGUAUUCCGGGGGGCAUGCCUGUCCGAGCGUCAUUGCUGCCCUCAAGCACGGCUUGUGUGUUGGGCCUCCGUCCUCCUCCCGGGGGACGGGCCCGAAAGGCAGCGGCGGCACCGCGUCCGGUCCUCGAGCGUAUGGGGCUUCGUCACCCGCUCUUGUAGGCCCGGCCGGCGCUUGCCGACACAUCAAUCUUUUUUCCAGGUUGACCUCGGAUCAGGUAGGGAUACCCGCUGAACUUAAGCAUAUCAAUAAGCGGAGGA
Molecule: unclassified non-coding RNA, 345 nt
Filed under: soil metagenome
Description: partial contains 5.8S ribosomal RNA, internal transcribed spacer 2, and large subunit ribosomal RNA
Rfam family: 5.8S ribosomal RNA (bases 1-120)
Source: RNAcentral